Molecule: long non-coding RNA, 465 nt
Organism: Numida meleagris (helmeted guineafowl)
Lineage: Eukaryota; Metazoa; Chordata; Aves; Galliformes; Numididae
Source: Ensembl
UUUCUUUUUAAUUUUUAUUUUUUAUUUUUUUAUUUUUAAUUUCUUUGCUAUUAAAUGUCACUUUGGACUGUAUUUGCACUAAAAUGUUCAUUCAAAACUGUUGAGGACAGAAGUAGUUGGAGGACUUUCACAGUGUUUUGCUAACCACUUUCUUUUCCCUUUCCUCUGUUGACCAAGUUUGUUCUCCCAAAAGGAGGCUAUGGCAAUUAAGAAAUAUUUCGGAUAGUCUGUCUCUAGUUUACUAUUAUCAGUCUUUUAAGUGGUAGUGUUUUUCUUGCUCUCUUUUCUCCAGGUUUUGAAGUUUGGAACAACAUCAAAAGAUAUGCAGGACACAGCUCAGAAUACAUUAUCACAUCCUGUCAGGCAGCAGGAACUCCAGAUUUUGAUGACAUGACUAGCUGGAUCAUUCUGCAUUUGUCCAGGAACAUGUAUUUAGGACUAUUUUUAAGAGGUCAGAACUUGUAA